This 322-nucleotide ribosomal RNA is filed under the name uncultured eukaryote. RNAcentral describes it as "partial 18S ribosomal RNA". It matches the Rfam family "Eukaryotic small subunit ribosomal RNA", at positions 1470 to 1796 of the family's 1831-position model. The record is from RNAcentral.
CCCUUAGAUGUUCUGGGCCGCACGCGUGCUACACUGAGUGGAUCAGCGGGUCAGGUUACGCGAGAGCGUUUCCUAAUCUUCAAACCCGCUCGUGAUGGGGAUUGACGGUUGCAAUUUUCCGUCAUGAACGAGGAAUACCUUGUAAGCGCGGGUCAUCAUCCCGCGCUGAAUACGUCCCUGCCCUUUGUACACACCGCCCGUCGCUCCUACCGAUUGAGUGGUCCGGUGAGGCUUUGGGAUCUAAGCGAAAAGAGCGUUUCGCUCCUUUUGCUGGGAGAACUCAGUCGAACCUUAUCAUUUAGAGGAAGGAGAAGUCGUAACA